AAGAUCAUACUUCACAGGAUCAUUUCUGUAGUAUAUCUUCGCAUACUCUCUACUCAAACGUAGAGUUGUCGCAAUCGCGAUGACGAGAUGAGGUUUUGUAUCCUGAGCGUGAGACAGGCUGACGAAUUCUCUUUGGGAAUUUGCGCAGCAUCCGAUGAUCGUUCACCUAAAAUUUCAUAGUUUUAGGCAAUGGAUGCAAAACGAUCUGAGCGAU
Small nucleolar RNA from Aethina tumida (small hive beetle), 214 nucleotides. RefSeq annotates it as small nucleolar RNA U3. The transcript has a single exon. The record is from RefSeq and is a predicted model, not a curated record. NCBI's taxonomy places the organism in Eukaryota, Metazoa, Arthropoda, Insecta, Coleoptera, Nitidulidae.